Molecule: long non-coding RNA, 1066 nt
Organism: Choloepus didactylus (southern two-toed sloth)
Lineage: Eukaryota; Metazoa; Chordata; Mammalia; Pilosa; Megalonychidae
Exons: 3
Source: RefSeq, a predicted model, not a curated record
GAGGAGGUUAGAAAGCGGCCAGCGGGGCAGAGAGCACUGGAAUCUUUCGGGUCCUUUUCAGCAGAGAAGCGACAUCAUCAGAUUUAGGUUUCAGGAGGAUGUCACUGUCUCUACAAGGAGAAUGAAUUAAAGGCUCCAGGGUGGAGCCAGGAGACGUGGGGAGACCCUCGCAGAGGCCUCCACCUGGUGGUAGCGGGAAGGGGGCUGCAGUGAAGUGGCUGCCCACCCCCAUCCCAGUGGUGAGCGCCCCGUCACUGGAGGAGUGCAAACCCCUGCCGCCCCCAUGGCCCCUCGUGGUCGCCGCUCCCUGGGGCUGCUGCCCAGUAAGUGCUUCACGUGUGCCGGGUCAGGUCAGUGCACCCUCCCGGAGCCCCAGGAGGCGCGACACGGACGCAGAGGCUCAGAGCCCAGGUGCACAGAGAACCCUCUGACGGGAGCAGCCUCGGAGACAGUGCUGCUUUAGUCUUGUUUGAAAACGGAUUCCCUGGUUCCUGCGAGGCCUUCCCGUCGCCCCUGCCCCACGGGAGCCGUCUGUUUGUGUCCCGUCCUUUGGUUGGAUCCCGGAUGCCAGGGGCUCUGAGUUCUUGGUUGUUUUGAGAAUAUUUUUAAAACGCCCUCCAGUGUCUUCUCUGGCCUCCACCCUCCCCAGCCUGUCUUUGCCAGCCCUCGCCCAGCUGUCGGGCCUUUUCAGGUCCGUUUUCUCGGACCCCUCUGUUGACGCCAGCACCCUCGCUCAGCUGGUUGCUGUGGGGGCCUGUUUUCCUCCGCGGCGCUCGCCACCAGCUGACCUGGGAGACGGUUUCCUGCGCUCGCCGCUUGCGCCCCCCAGCCCAUCCCACCAUGUCCUGUGGGGCUCGGGUCUGGGCGCGUUGCUCGUCGCCUCAUCCCCGGCCUAGGACUAGGACGGCGCCGGAAAGACGACGGGCGCAAUGAGCAUUUCCUAACGUGGAUUCUAAGCUAUGGUGUGUAUUGUCCCGGAUGUGUGGAACUUUGACAUUUCCUUGUUUCCUGAGGCCGUUCUUUCUCUGGCGUGUGUGCUGCGUCUGACUGUUGCUCACAUUUCUUG